UUGGUAGGUUUUUAUUUCUUUUUCUCCUUAAACCACAGCUGGUGUAUAACAAUCACCAGUUGCUUCAUCCUGUCACCAACACAGAGGGCAGAUGCUCACUGGGCACUACACACACCACAAACCUGUGUGAACACGGCAAAGCUCUUCCUAUGUGUUAAUAGACACAUCUCUACAAUACAGCAUCAUAACCAUCAUCAUCACCAUCAUCAUCGCAAUCUUCAUCACCACCUUCUCCAGUCUGUGCACCAGUUGGUUCAACAGCCGUGCCUCUGACUUCUUCCCAUGCACAUGUUCUGCCACAGCCGAUCGCGCUAUUUAAGGACCUAUUUCAGACUUCAAAACCAAUGGUGCCAAAUCUGCAUCGAUACCGUUUUAAUUUCACACUGUUUCAAUUUCACCACAUUACUUUUAUAGAAAGAAAUUAAAUAAUCAAGCCCUUUAGAACAAAGAGCUACCAAGCUGCUGAUACAGUAGCCUUCCAUACUCAUGACAAACACUUAUUAGUGCCUUCUUAGCAUUUUCUUUGGCUUUCACACAGAGAACUUCCUUCAAUCACGUGAGGCAUGGCAAACUCCCACCUUGAAGAUGUAACCACAGAAGAUCCUACUGGUUUCAGUGGCAAGAACAUUUUUAGACAUGACACCUUUAUAAAUAUGAGAGAAAGCAGUGUAUUUUAGACCUCUUUAAAGCAAUCAGCAAACCCAUUAGAAUUACAUCAGAAAAGCAGUAUCCUGUACAUUCUACAUACUCGCUUUCAUUUUUGUAUGAAAAUACAUAAGGUGCUUACAUGGGAUGGAAAAAAGAUCGAACUCAUAGUUAAACACUUCCAUUCUCCACUUCUAUAUUCUUUAUAUGUCCCUUAGAAACACUAUUUUCUUAAAUGGUUGAAGGGAAUAUUGCUGAAGUGUUGCAGGUGGGGGUAAAUCUCUCUGAUAGAUCAAUAAGCAGCCCAGUUUUAAUUAAAACAGCUGACUGGACCACUACUCACUUAUUAUAGUCUUGUUUUACAGUAUUUCAAAACCCUUAAAUCUCUUUUACUGCAGUCCUCUGGCAUAUAUAAUUCCCUUUUCAGCUUGGUCAAAUUUAGCUGGAAAAUGGAGUUUUGGCAACUGAUACAUUUUAAUGCAACUCCUUGAUUGUGCAAUAUAAAUACACACAGUAAAUAGCAGGACAUUGAGUUGAGCUUUUCACUUUUCUUAAAAAAGGAUAUAUUUUCCUUUCUCCCCAGGCCAAGAUGCACAAGCUCUUUAGAAAUCUUUGGAUAAGGGCUUUCAUUCAAGGUUGAAUUUAUAUAGCAUUUAUAGUGCUAUAUAAAUUAAUAUACUUUUGAUAUUUAAUAUUUACAUAGUGCUUGGUAUUAAUGUUCACAACCCCUGUGUUAUUGAGGAUGGCAAAAAGAGCUGCUUUUUAAUUUGGGUUAUGUGAAGACUUGAUUUUUGGGGCACAGCAGAAACCAAGGUCAUGAUUGCAAGAGGUGCUCAGUAAUAACCCGCAGCUCAAGUCACAAAUGUCUUGAGUACAGAGGCUUGGAAAGGAUGAGGGCCCUCAUGACAACCUGAAUUUCCACAGCCACACGGAUAUACUGCUUUAUGAUAGGACACUGGCUGUUAACAUCAAAGUAAGUGGCAUUCCCCAGUGCAGGCAUGACAUACCAAACAGGUACCUGAUUCACUUUGGAGUAUUUUUAAUGAGACAGCUUGAUUACAGCAGCGUUAUCCUCAUUCUUCUGAAAAGCUACUUCCAUCUGGCAGCUUUUGGGGAAGCCUCACAGAUAAGCACAACCUCACCUUCAGUAACACAAUCUGCUCCUAGUACUACACUGCAGACACUCCAGCAUGUAAGUCCUGCCACGAGGCUGCAACACAGCAUGUUCCUGACCACCAGUGCUCAGCUCACUGUGUAAGAAACCAGCAAUAAAUCAAGAUUUGAAGACUAGCAGAUUCCCCUUCAUACACAGAACAGUUAUCCCCAAAAAAGGAGGUUCUAAGCCACAGGAUCUUGUUCUUUCCUUAAUGCUCAUAUGCAACUUAAUUCAUGACUGCUGGGUAGCAGGGAGGAAGGGAAAUUGGGAUAGAGUCUCCAGCAAAAUGCAAAUGUGAUACAAGCAGGUGAGAAAAUCCCACACUUCCAGCAUGGAAAGGCUUUGGAGGCGGUGGCUUUCAGAUGAGCACUAGUCAACACAGGAACAGCAGGUUACACUGCUGCAGGUAUGCUGACACUCACAGUGGUCAUGGUUAAUUCAGCAUGGAGAUAUAUUGCAGGUAAGAGCUGGUAGUUAUCUGUUGCCUGUGACAACAGUACCAGUUGGAAUGAAUGCUGCAAUGCUGCAGCAUUCCCUAGAACACCUUUCCUCUUGUUAACCCUCUUAAGUAUGUGGCAUCUUACAUUUACUUCCAAGAAUCCCAUUUUAUGUGCUUGGUUCCAGAGCUUUCAGGGCCCUUUUCCCAGUACACCUGUGCUAACAAAGCACAGAGAAUC
Molecule: long non-coding RNA, 2478 nt
Organism: Strigops habroptila (Kakapo)
Lineage: Eukaryota; Metazoa; Chordata; Aves; Psittaciformes; Psittacidae
Source: Ensembl